This 440-nucleotide ribosomal RNA is filed under the name uncultured bacterium. RNAcentral's name for it is "partial 16S ribosomal RNA". It matches the Rfam family "Bacterial small subunit ribosomal RNA", at positions 338 to 795 of the family's 1533-position model. The record is from RNAcentral.
CCUACGGGUGGCAGCAGUGGGGGAUAUUGCACAAUGGGGGCAACCCUGAUGCAGCGACGCCGCGUGGGUGAAGAAGCGCCUAGGCGCGUAAAGCCCUGUCAGCAGGGAAGAAAAUGACGGUACCUGAAGAAGAAGCCCCGGCUAACUACGUGCCAGCAGCCGCGGUAAUACGUAGGGGGCAAGCGUUAUCCGGAUUUACGGGGUGUAAAGGGGGCGCAGACGGCGAUGAAAGCCAGUAGUGAAAGCCCGGGGCACAACCCCGGGACUGCUAUUGGAACUGCGUGGCUAGAGUGCAGGAGGGGCAGGCGGAAUUCCUGGUGUAGCGGUGAAAUGCGUAGAUAUCAGGAGGAACACCGGUGGCGAAGGCGGCCUGCUGGACUGCAACUGACGUUGAGGCCCGAAAGCGUGGGGAGCAAACAGGAUUAGAUACCUUAGUAGUC